GACGAACGCUGGCGGCGUGCUUAACACAUGCAAGUCGAACGAAGUGGCGAACGGGUGAGUAACGCGUAAUCAACCUGCCCUUCAGAGGGGGACAACAGUUGGAAACGACUGCUAAUACCGCAUACUGAAGGAGGGGAUUGCGUCUGAUUAGCUAGUUGGAGGGGUAACGGCCCACAAAGGCGAUGAUCAGUAGCCGGUCUGAUAUGAUUGACGGCCAAAUUGGGACUUAGACACGGGCCAGACUCCUACGGGAGGCAGCAGUGGGGAAUCUUCCGCCAUGGACGAAAGUCUGACGGAGCAACGCCGCGUGAGUGAUGACGGCCUUCGGGUUGUAAAGCUCUGUUAAUCGGGACGCGGUACCGGAAUAGAAAGCCACGGCUAACUACGUGCCAACAGCCGCGGUAAUAC
This 408-nucleotide ribosomal RNA is filed under the name uncultured bacterium. Its description in RNAcentral is "partial 16S ribosomal RNA". It matches the Rfam family "Bacterial small subunit ribosomal RNA", at positions 28 to 526 of the family's 1533-position model. The record is from RNAcentral.